GAAAAAAAUGGAGGACUUUAGAAGAAAACUGACGCGGCAGCGUAAACGAGCUCAAAUUGUGGCGUCACUAUUGACGAAGCCAAGGAAGGGAAUAAACUUGCAGGCUUCAGAUUGAGGCCAUUUGAGGUCGUUUGGUUGGUGUUCUAGGCAUUGCAAAAUUGGGGAACUUCCCGUUAGUGAGAUACUAUUGGUGAAGACGAAGCUAGUAGCCGACGAGUUCUCUAGAAUUGAUUUAGUUAUUGAGGUGAGCCGCCGCAUUGUUCGUGGAGGAUGCCCAAAGAGUCUUUUAUCAUUUAUUCAUAUGCGGCCUUUGUAAUUCUAUUAGAUGCUCCAUGGUCUAGUGUGGGAUUUGGGCUAGAGUUUUAAUCUAAUAUUUUGAGAUAUUAAUUGUUCAUAAUAGUUAUCAGAUUAUUUGGGUACUCAUUUAA
This is a non-coding RNA of Nicotiana tabacum (common tobacco), 428 nucleotides long. Lineage: Eukaryota; Viridiplantae; Streptophyta; Magnoliopsida; Solanales; Solanaceae. The record is from RefSeq and is a predicted model, not a curated record.